GAUCCUGGCUCAGGAUGAACGCUAGCGACAGGCUUAACACAUGCAAGUCGAGGGGCAGCGGGGAGUAGCAAUACUCUGCCGGCGACCGGCGCACGGGUGAGUAACGCGUAUGCAACUUGCCUAUCAGAGGAGAAUAGCUCAUCGAAAGAUGAAUUAAUGCUCCAUAAAACAGGGGUCCCGCAUGGGGAUAUUUGUUAAAGAUUCAUCGCUGAUAGAUAGGCA
RNAcentral lists this ribosomal RNA (222 nucleotides) under uncultured bacterium. RNAcentral's name for it is "partial 16S ribosomal RNA". It matches the Rfam family "Bacterial small subunit ribosomal RNA", at positions 15 to 231 of the family's 1533-position model. The record is from RNAcentral.